AUUGAACGCUGGCGGCAGGCUUAACACAUGCAAGUCGAGCGGGGUGAUGGUGCUUGCACUAUCACUUAGCGGCGGACGGGUGAGUAAUGCUUAGGAAUCUGCCUAUUAGUGGGGGACAACAUCUCGAAAGGGAUGCUAAUACCGCAUACGUCCUACGGGAGAAAGCAGGGGAUCACUUGUGACCUUGCGCUAAUAGAUGAGCCUAAGUCGGAUUAGCUAGUUGGUGGGGUAAAGGCCUACCAAGGCGACGAUCUGUAGCGGGUCUGAGAGGAUGAUCCGCCACACUGGGACUGGGAAACGGCCCAGACUCCUACGGGAGGCAGCAGUGGGGAAUAUUGGACAAUGGGGGGAACCCUGAUCCAGCCAUGCCGCGUGUGUGAAGAAGGCCUUAUGGUUGUAAAGCACUUUAAGCGAGGAGGAGGCUCUUUUGGUUAAUACCCAGAAUGAGUGGACGUUACUCGCAGAAUAAGCACCGGCUAACUCUGUGCCAGCAGCCGCCGUAA
Molecule: ribosomal RNA, 503 nt
Filed under: uncultured bacterium
Lineage: Bacteria
Description: partial 16S ribosomal RNA
Rfam family: Bacterial small subunit ribosomal RNA
Source: RNAcentral